Molecule: ribosomal RNA, 366 nt
Filed under: Triticum aestivum (bread wheat)
Lineage: Eukaryota; Viridiplantae; Streptophyta; Magnoliopsida; Poales; Poaceae
Description: partial small subunit ribosomal RNA
Source: RNAcentral
AUGUUCUUCUUCAUCUCGCUCCUUUUAUGGUUUUUCCUCUUCUUGCUCCUGUUGUACUUGUUCAGCAACGUGGAUGUUGAAACAAAUCCAGAAGUUACUAGGAGGACGACGAACAAACCGAGGAAGCAUGAGCUUUGUUCCGUCCUCUGCAACCACGUUCAUCGACACCACCUCCGCCGACACCAAAUCUUGUGUCCUCAUGGCCAGCGAGUAGAAAGCCAGGGGAAAGACUGUGUCGUCGAUGAUAAAGCUUGCCGCACCCUGCGCGACACCGCGGCCCCGUGGUUCGAGGCUCCGAGUUUGCAUUAUCCUGCACAAGGUUUUGAUUUUUGGAUUACGUUUUUUUUUCACGCCCUGAACGAGUGA